RNAcentral lists this transfer RNA (71 nucleotides) under Daphnia magna. It matches the Rfam family "tRNA". From Rfam's summary of the family: Transfer RNA (tRNA) molecules are approximately 80 nucleotides in length. The record is from Rfam by way of RNAcentral. Lineage: Eukaryota; Metazoa; Arthropoda; Branchiopoda; Diplostraca; Daphniidae.
GACUCAUGGCUUAACGGUAGAGCAUCGGAUCGGUAUUUCAAAGGUUUAGGGUUCAAUUCCCAAAAGAGUCA